UACGUAGGGCGCAAGCGUUGUCCGGAAUUAUUGGGCGUAAAGAGCUCGUAGGCGGUCUGUCGCGUCGGUCGUGAAAACUUGGGGCUUAACCCUGAGCUUGCGGUCGAUACGGGCAUGACUGGAGUUCGGCAGGGGAGACUGGAAUUCCUGGUGUAGCGGUGAAAUGCGCAGAUAUCAGGAGGAACACCGGUGGCGAAGGCGGGUCUCUGGGACGGUACUGACGCUGAGACGCGAAAGCGUGGGGAGCGAACAGG
RNAcentral lists this ribosomal RNA (254 nucleotides) under uncultured bacterium. RNAcentral's name for it is "partial 16S ribosomal RNA". It matches the Rfam family "Bacterial small subunit ribosomal RNA", at positions 524 to 776 of the family's 1533-position model. The record is from RNAcentral.